AUGGGUACAGGAUGCAGUAGCAACAAAGACUUCAACUGGGAGGAGCUUCGAAUAGAGACCCAUGACUUGCACUACCUGGGCAACACCAUCACAGAAGAUGAGGUUUGGGGGGCCAUAAAGGAGAUGCCUAGUGAUAAGGCGCCCGGUCCGGAUGGCUUCACAGGGAUCUUCUUCAAGAAGUGUUGGGGCAUCAUCAAGCUUUCGGUCAUGAGGGUCAUCCAGUGUUUUGACUCUCUCCACACCUCCAACCUGCAUUGGUUGAAUUCCGCCAAUGUUGUGCUAUUGCCCAAAAAGGAGGGUGCGGAAGGCAUCUCUGAUUACAGACCUAUCAGUCUCAUCCACGCCAUCGCAAGAAUAAUUGCCAAGGUCCUUUCGCUCCGGCUGGCUCCACACAUGGACUGCCUUGUCUCCAACGCCCAAAGUGCAUUCAUAAAGAGGCGUAGCAUACAUGGCAACUUCAUGUGCGUGCAUAAUUUUGCUAGGCGCUUACACAAGUGCAAGACCCCGUCACUCCUUUUCAAGCUGGACAUAAGAAAG
This 537-nucleotide ribosomal RNA is filed under the name Triticum aestivum (bread wheat). RNAcentral's name for it is "partial small subunit ribosomal RNA". Lineage: Eukaryota; Viridiplantae; Streptophyta; Magnoliopsida; Poales; Poaceae. The record is from RNAcentral.